AGGAGAGGAGACCAUCCUAGGCUCGGCCAGGGACACAGUGGGGGAGAAAACACGCACACGCAGAGCGGAGAAAAGGCUCCUCUGUGCACCGGAGCCCCGCACAUCUCUGACGCGGGAGGAGAGCGCCGACCUCCCGCCGGAGCCUCCCGAUCACGCACGGAUACAAACGCGCAAUUGACCGCGGAGCUCUCCUCCUCCUCCUCCUCCUCCUCCACAGCCGGGAGGACACGCAGCCUCGGGGCAGAUGCGGUGGGAUUUAUCGACCCGAUCCACGCGCACCUGCACAUCUGGAGCCUGGAGGACGCUGCACCGACCUGACCUGCUCCACAUGUGGAUGUUUUUUUCCCACCGCGGACGCAGGAUGCAGCUGAUGAUGGAAACAGGAAGCUUCAGACUUAACCUUGUGCUGCUGAAUCAACCAGCGGAGCGUGUUCCUGUCUUUGGUUAUCUAGCUGUAUGAGUGUUAAUCCUCCUUCAUAAAGCUAGAUAACCGAAAGUAGGAAUGACCUCCACACCCCCCCAUCUCCUAACGAAGAGAAGAAAGAGAGAAAAUCCCAGAUGGCAACACAAGAGGACAUUGAGUGUGUUCAGAAAAGAAUCAGAGUGAUGCUGGUGCCACCCUCUCUGUGCAGGAUGUGCAGCGUCUUCGUCGGUGUGUUCAUCACAUGGAUUCUCUGCAGCCAAACACAAGGAUUUGUCUCUGUGCAAAUUGGACAACUGCAGGAACGUGUUCUCUCUCUCCUCCAGACUUUAACAAAGUUUGAACCACAAUUCAUUCAUUGAUUUCAUUUUCAUUUUUUGGUGUGAAAAUGAGAUUUGAUAUUGAGUCAUCAGUUAUACUUGAGUGGAAGAUUUUAUUUUCAAAUGCAUGUUGUUUUUUUGAAAAUCCUGUCCGUAAAAUGAUUUGGAAGAAUUUUGAAUGAAAUGUGAUAAAUGUGAUAAAAUAAAUAUUAAAAAGAACACAAA
Long non-coding RNA from Hippoglossus stenolepis (Pacific halibut), 966 nucleotides. RefSeq lists it as uncharacterized. Lineage: Eukaryota; Metazoa; Chordata; Actinopteri; Pleuronectiformes; Pleuronectidae. The record is from RefSeq and is a predicted model, not a curated record. The transcript is spliced from 3 exons.